This 237-nucleotide ribosomal RNA is filed under the name Pseudomonas aeruginosa. RNAcentral's name for it is "partial 23S ribosomal RNA". It matches the Rfam family "Bacterial large subunit ribosomal RNA", at positions 1422 to 1664 of the family's 2925-position model. Lineage: Bacteria; Pseudomonadati; Pseudomonadota; Gammaproteobacteria; Pseudomonadales; Pseudomonadaceae. The record is from RNAcentral.
ACAGGUUAAUAUUCCUGUACUUGGUGUUACUGCGAAGGGGGGACGGAGAAGGCUAUGUUAGCCGGGCGACGGUUGUCCCGGUUUAAGCAUGUAGGCUGGUUGUCCAGGCAAAUCCGGAUAAUCAAGGCUGAGGUGUGAUGACGAGGCACUACGGUGCUGAAGUAACAAAUGCCCUGCUUCCAGGAAAAGCCUCUAAGCAUCAGGUAACAUCAAAUCGUACCCCAAACCGACACAGGU